UACGGAGGAGGCAAGCGUUAUCCGGAAUUAUUGGGCGUAAAGCGUCCGUAGGUGGUUGGCCAAGUCUGCUGUCAAAGGGAGGGGCUUAACCUCAUAAAGGCAGUGGAAACUGGCGAGCUAGAGUGCGGUAGGGGUAGGGGGAAUUCCCAGUGUAGCGGUGAAAUGCGUAGAGAUUGGGAAGAACAUCGGUGGCGAAAGCGCCCUGCUGGGCCUGCACUGACACUGAGGGACCAAAGAUAGGGGUGGGAAAGGG
This 253-nucleotide ribosomal RNA is filed under the name uncultured bacterium. RNAcentral describes it as "partial 16S ribosomal RNA". It matches the Rfam family "Bacterial small subunit ribosomal RNA", at positions 524 to 776 of the family's 1533-position model. The record is from RNAcentral.